RNAcentral lists this ribosomal RNA (167 nucleotides) under Acanthodactylus boskianus (Bosk's fringe-fingered lizard). RNAcentral describes it as "partial 12S ribosomal RNA". The record is from RNAcentral. Lineage: Eukaryota; Metazoa; Chordata; Lepidosauria; Squamata; Lacertidae.
AGUAGACACAAUAGCAACAACUCGCUAACACGUCAGGUCAAGGUGUAGCAAAUGUUGAGGAAGAGAUUGGCUACAUUUUUUAUUUCAAAACAAACGAAAUGCAACAUGAAACAUUGCACGAAGGUGAAUUUAGCAGUAAAAUGAACAAGAGAGUUCAUUUUAACACC